RNAcentral lists this ribosomal RNA (2885 nucleotides) under Acinetobacter baumannii AB5075. Its description in RNAcentral is "bacterial LSU rRNA". It matches the Rfam family "Bacterial large subunit ribosomal RNA". The record is from RNAcentral. Lineage: Bacteria; Pseudomonadati; Pseudomonadota; Gammaproteobacteria; Moraxellales; Moraxellaceae.
UUAAGUGCAUGUGGUGGAUGCCUUGGCAGUCAGAGGCGAUGAAAGACGUGAUAGCCUGCGAAAAGCUCCGGGGAGGCGGCAAAUAUCCUUUGAUCCGGAGAUGUCUGAAUGGGGGAACCCACCUACUUUAAGGUAGGUAUUGCAACAUGAAUACAUAGUGUUGCAAGGCGAACGAGGGGAAGUGAAACAUCUCAGUACCCUUAGGAAAAGAAAUCAAUUGAGAUUCCCUCAGUAGCGGCGAGCGAACGGGGAUCAGCCCAUUAAGUUAUGUGUGUUUUAGUGGAACGCUCUGGGAAGUGCGAACGUAGAGGGUGAUAUUCCCGUACACGAAAGGGCACACAUAAUGAUGACGAGUAGGGCGGAGGCACGUACGUAAACCUUGUCUGAAUAUGGGGGGGACCAUCCUCCAAGGCUAAAUACUCCUGACUGACCGAUAGUGAACCAGUACCGUGAGGGAAAGGCGAAAAGAACCCCUGUGAGGGGAGUGAAAUAGAUCCUGAAACCGCAUGCAUACAAGCAGUGGGAGCACCUUCGUGGUGUGACUGCGUACCUUUUGUAUAAUGGGUCAGCGACUUAUAUUCAGUAGCGAGGUUAACCGUAUAGGGGAGCCGUAGAGAAAUCGAGUCUUAAUAGGGCGUUUAGUUGCUGGGUAUAGACCCGAAACCAGGCGAUCUAUCCAUGAGCAGGUUGAAGGUUGGGUAACACUAACUGGAGGACCGAACCCACUGUCGUUGAAAAGCCAGGGGAUGACUUGUGGAUAGGGGUGAAAGGCUAAUCAAGCCUGGUGAUAGCUGGUUCUCCCCGAAAGCUAUUUAGGUAGCGCCUCGGACGAAUACCAUAGGGGGUAGAGCACUGUUUCGGCUAGGGGGUCAUCCCGACUUACCAAACCGAUGCAAACUCCGAAUACCUAUGAGUACUAUCCGGGAGACGGACUGCGGGUGCUAACGUCCGUAGUCAAGAGGAAAACAAUCCAGACCGCCAGCUAAGGCCCCAAAAUCAUAGUUAAGUGGGAAACGAUGUGGGAAGGCAUAGACAGCUAGGAGGUUGGCUUAGAAGCAGCCACCCUUUAAAGAAAGCGUAAUAGCUCACUAGUCGAGUCGGCCUGCGCGGAAGAUGUAACGGGGCUAAAACUAUGUGCCGAAGCUGCGGAUGUAUACUUUGUAUACGUGGUAGGGGAGCGUUCUGUAAGCCGAUGAAGGUGUGUUGAGAAGCAUGCUGGAGGUAUCAGAAGUGCGAAUGCUGACGUGAGUAACGACAAAACGGGUGAAAAACCCGUUCGCCGAAAGACCAAGGGUUCCAGUCCAACGUUAAUCGGGGCUGGGUGAGUCGACCCCUAAGGCGAGGCCGAAAGGCGUAGUCGAUGGGAAAAUGGUUAAUAUUCCAUUACUUCUGUGUAAUGCGAUGAGAGGACGGAGAAGGCUAAAUCAGCCUGGCGUUGGUUGUCCAGGUGAAAGGAUGUAGGCAUGUAUCUUAGGCAAAUCCGGGGUACUCUAUGCUGAGAUCUGAUAGCAAGCUGUACUUGUACAGCGAAGUGGUUGAUGCCAUGCUUCCAGGAAAAGUCUCUAAGCUUCAGUUACACAGGAAUCGUACCCGAAACCGACACAGGUGGUCAGGUCGAGUAGACCAAGGCGCUUGAGAGAACUCUGCUGAAGGAACUAGGCAAAAUGGUACCGUACUUCGGGAGAAGGUACGCUGUUGUUGGUGAUGGAACUCGCUUCCUGAGCUGACGACAGCCGCAGAAACCAGGCCGCUGCAACUGUUUAUUAAAAACAUAGCACUCUGCAAACACGAAAGUGGACGUAUAGGGUGUGAUGCCUGCCCGGUGCUGGAAGGUUAAUUGAUGGGGUUAGCGUAAGCGAAGCUCUUGAUCGAAGCCCCAGUAAACGGCGGCCGUAACUAUAACGGUCCUAAGGUAGCGAAAUUCCUUGUCGGGUAAGUUCCGACCUGCACGAAUGGCAUAAUGAUGGCGGCGCUGUCUCCAGCAGAGGCUCAGUGAAAUCGAAAUCGCUGUGAAGAUGCAGUGUACCCGCGGCUAGACGGAAAGACCCCGUGAACCUUUACUGCAGCUUGACACUGAACUUUGACCUUACUUGUGUAGGAUAGGUGGGAGGCUUUGAAGCUGGAACGCUAGUUCCAGUGGAGCCGUCCUUGAAAUACCACCCUGGUAAUGUUGAGGUUCUAACUCUGUCCCGUGAUCCGGGACGAGGACCGUGUCUGGUGGGUAGUUUGACUGGGGCGGUCUCCUCCUAAAGAGUAACGGAGGAGUACGAAGGUGCGCUCAGCGUGGUCGGAAAUCACGCGUAGAGUAUAAAGGCAAAAGCGCGCUUAACUGCGAGACCCACAAGUCGAGCAGGUACGAAAGUAGGUCUUAGUGAUCCGGUGGUUCUGUAUGGAAGGGCCAUCGCUCAACGGAUAAAAGGUACUCUGGGGAUAACAGGCUGAUACCGCCCAAGAGUUCAUAUCGACGGCGGUGUUUGGCACCUCGAUGUCGGCUCAUCUCAUCCUGGGGCUGAAGCAGGUCCCAAGGGUAUGGCUGUUCGCCAUUUAAAGAGGUACGCGAGCUGGGUUUAGAACGUCGUGAGACAGUUCGGUCCCUAUCUACCGUGGGCGCUGGAAAUUUGAGAGGAUCUGCUCCUAGUACGAGAGGACCAGAGUGGACGAACCUCUGGUGUACCGGUUGUGACGCCAGUCGCAUCGCCGGGUAGCUAUGUUCGGAAGGGAUAACCGCUGAAAGCAUCUAAGCGGGAAGCCUACCUCAAGAUAAGAUUUCCCUAGGACUUUAUGUCCUCUAAAGAGCCGUUCGAGACUAGGACGUUGAUAGGUUGGAUGUGGAAGCAUAGUGAUAUGUGAAGCUGACCAAUACUAAUUGCUCGUGAGGCUUGACU